Molecule: ribosomal RNA, 250 nt
Filed under: uncultured prokaryote
Description: partial 16S ribosomal RNA
Rfam family: Bacterial small subunit ribosomal RNA
Source: RNAcentral
UACGUAUGGGGCAAGCGUUAUCCGGAUUUACUGGGUGUAAAGGGAGUGUAGGCGGCAUGGCAAGUCAGAAGUGAAAGCCUGGGGCUCAACCCCGGAACUGCUUUUGAAACUGUCAGGCUAGAGUGUCGGAGGGGUAAGCGGAAUUCCUAGUGUAGCGGUGAAAUGCGUAGAUAUUAGGAGGAACACCGGUGGCGAAGGAGGCUUACUGGACGACUACUGACGCUGAGGCUCGAGAGCGUGGGGAGCAAAC